This 568-nucleotide long non-coding RNA is filed under the name Rattus norvegicus (Norway rat). RNAcentral describes it as "long non-coding RNA NONRATT032737". The record is from RNAcentral. Lineage: Eukaryota; Metazoa; Chordata; Mammalia; Rodentia; Muridae.
AAUUCAUCUUGAAGCCCAGAAACUCAGCAAGAAGCCAGCAGCAAAAAAAUAUGAAGGAAAAAACUUUUAAGAAACAGAGAACUUCUAUGACGUCGCAGUUGGACAGGGGCUCUGUGCCCCACUAGGACCAAGUAUGCACCACCCCACCAGUUAAAAAGGGAAGAAAACUGUUUGGAAGAGAACUCAGUUCCAUUUGUCAGGAUGGCAUCCUGCCUGGAGCAAUUCUGAUAUGAAGGAAAAAACUUUUAAGAAACAGAGAACUUCUAUGACGUCGCAGUUGGACAGGGGCUCUGUGCCCCACUAGGACCAAGUAUGCACCACCCCACCAGUUAAAAAGGGAAGAAAACUGUUUGGAAGAGAACUCAGUUCCAUUUGUCAGGAUGGCAUCCUGCCUGGAGCAAUUCUGGACAUGCUGUACCUACUAAAAAAGAAAGGGCCCACAACCACGGGUGUCUUUUUAGAACCUCCGAGUAUAACUUUGUGCCAAACAGUAAAGGACAAAUUGGAUUCGGAAGAGGAGGUGUGUAUAAACAAGCAAUCAGUUAAUGUAGUGGCGUGGAUCUUUAAG